This 232-nucleotide long non-coding RNA is filed under the name Elaeis guineensis (African oil palm). RNAcentral's name for it is "long non-coding RNA (EGUI_LNC007432)". Lineage: Eukaryota; Viridiplantae; Streptophyta; Magnoliopsida; Arecales; Arecaceae. The record is from RNAcentral.
UUACUGACUUUCUUAUCCAAUAUUAUAUAUCAUGAUGUACCACGACCUCUCCUAGGUAAGGAAGAACUUAGAAAUAUAAAUAUAGUCAAUAUCAAGCAUGCAUAUAAUUUUAUAUAAGUAUAAAAUUAUAUGUAUAAAUUAUAAUAUUUUAAAUGGAUGUAAUUAUUCAUUUACGUAUAUAUACUUUCUUUCACUGCCAUUGCAUUAACUACUCCUUAAAGUAGGAGGACUG